RNAcentral lists this transfer RNA (72 nucleotides) under Capra hircus (goat). It matches the Rfam family "tRNA". Rfam says of the family: Transfer RNA (tRNA) molecules are approximately 80 nucleotides in length. Their secondary structure includes four short double-helical elements and three loops (D, anti-codon, and T loops). RNAcentral also lists the same sequence under 1 other name. The record is from Rfam by way of RNAcentral. Lineage: Eukaryota; Metazoa; Chordata; Mammalia; Artiodactyla; Bovidae.
UCCAUGGUGGCUCAGAUGGUAAAGAAUCUGCCUGCAAUGCAGGAGACCCAGGUUCGAUCCCUGGGUCAGGAA